This is a long non-coding RNA of Bubalus bubalis (water buffalo), 1355 nucleotides long. RefSeq lists it as uncharacterized. The transcript has 2 exons. NCBI's taxonomy places the organism in Eukaryota, Metazoa, Chordata, Mammalia, Artiodactyla, Bovidae. The record is from RefSeq and is a predicted model, not a curated record.
ACCAAGACAGCAUUCUUCCACAAUCAAAAACAAAAAGCAUCUGGGUCUCCAAGCUUCCGGGGCAACUGCAGCAAACACAGAUGCCUUCCCUGAGCGGUUUUGCGCAAACCAGAGGCGCUGGCUUCCACGUCUGGGUUGAUGCAGGACAGGGGAGAGGACAGCGGGUGAGGGGAGAGUGUGUGGAGAGUUCAGGAGCAAUCAGAAGACACGUGGAGGUGUGGGGGGUGUGGAGAGUUCAGGAGGAGUCAGAAGACACGUGCGGAGCACAUGUCCAGACGUCUCUCCUGUUCUGGCAAGACCACUCGACUUCCAACAGCAUUCGAUACAGAGGGUUCACGGGUCACAUCACUGCGGUCACGUUCUUGGGGACAGGGUUUGGACACAUGGCUUUGGACAACUUACUUUCUACAGGAAACUGUCAGAAAUCUGUUCAGUAAAACCUGACAGGCCAUUCAGGGCAGCUGUAAAACUCCGGAGGAGAGACAGCGUUCCUCCUUGGAAGUCAGCUGAUGGGGGCCGGAGUGCUGGAGACUACAUGUUUCUUUCUUUCUGUGGGGGAGACCCUUGCCUCCUUCUACAGCAGAGAUCAAGGGAAAAGUGAAUCAACAACAGGGAUCACUGUUUAUUUCUUGCUCUGGCCAGAAGGAGGUACUUGAUUGAAGCAUAUUUUGGGGAAAAAAGGUUAAACUGAUGUCCGUGUAAAAAGAUGAGAAAUCAAUGCCUAGAAGUGUGCUGUUGAUUUUAAAGGAUGGAAGGGGGGGGAUGUUCUUAGGUGUGCCUCUUCACGUCCACUUCCCUGCCAUGUCUUCCCCUCCUUCUUACAAAUAUUUACUGAAUGCCCGCUAUGUGCAUGGCUCUGGGCUUAGUUUGACAGAAUACACCAAGACAGCAAUUACUUUCUCUUUUCCCCAUUGGUUCCUGCAACAUUUGUGCCCCUGCCCCACACUCACAUAGUGAAAUCUAACACCCAGCGUGAAGGCACUGGGAAGUGAGAACUUUGGGAGCUGACUGGGCCUUGAGGGCUGAGCCCCCAUGAAAGGGAUUAGUGCCCUUAGAAAAGAGACUGCAGAGAGCUCCCUGGCCCCUGCAACCACAUGAGGACACAGCAAAACAAUGGCAGUCUAUGAAGCAGGAUCUCACCAGACACCAAACAAACCUGCUGGAACCUUGAUCUUGAACUCCCUAAACUCCAGAACUGUAAGAAAUACAUUUUGUUGUUCCUAAGCCACUGCGGCCGUGGUAUUCUGUUACAACAGCUCAGAUGGACUGAGAUGGAUUAGUAUGAACUUUAGACACUCUUUAUGGUCUCUUAUAGUUUUAAAGUCAAUUCAGAUAAAUCUGAAUAUUUCAGAAGC